GAGCUUGCGGUUUAAUUGGAUUCAACGCCGGAAAUCUUACCGGGACCGACAGCAAUAUGAAGGCCAGGCUGAAGACUUUGCCGGAUUAGCUGAGAGGUGGUGCAUGGCCGUCGUCAGUUCGUACUGUGAAGCAUCCUGUUAAGUCAGGCAACGAGCGAGACCCACGCCCACAGUUGCCAGCGUACUCUCUGGAGUGACGGGUACACUGUGGGGACCGCCGCUGCUAAAGCGGAGGAAGGAAUGGGCAACGGUAGGUCAGUAUGCCCCGAAUAUCCCGGGCUACACGCGAGCUACAAUGGUUGGUACAAUGGGUAUCUACCCCGAAAGGGGACGGGAAUCUCCUAAAACCAAUCUUAGUUCGGAUUGAGGGCUGCAACUCGCCCUCAUGAAGCUGGAAUCCGUAGUAAUCGCGUUUCAACAGAACGCGGUGAAUACGUCCCUGCUCCUU
Molecule: ribosomal RNA, 448 nt
Filed under: uncultured Methanosaeta sp.
Lineage: Archaea; Methanobacteriati; Methanobacteriota; Methanomicrobia; Methanotrichales; Methanotrichaceae
Description: bacterial SSU rRNA
Rfam family: Archaeal small subunit ribosomal RNA
Source: RNAcentral